Molecule: ribosomal RNA, 1332 nt
Filed under: Collozoum sp. TB-2015
Lineage: Eukaryota; Polycystinea; Collodaria; Sphaerozoidae
Description: SSU rRNA
Rfam family: Eukaryotic small subunit ribosomal RNA
Source: RNAcentral
GCGGACGGCUCAUUAUAACAGUUAUUGUAUUAUUGAGAUUACUUUACAGGUGGAUACCCGUGGUAAUUCUAGAGCUAAUACAUGUCACAAAAAAUAUAUACUUUUAUAUAUUGAGCAUUUAUUUGUCCUCAAACCAAAAUGCUUUAGCAUUGCGGAUGAUUCAUAAUAAUGUUUGGAGAACGCUUUAAACAGUCGACAUAUCAUUCAAGUUUCUGACCUAUCAGUUAGUCAGUAGUGUAUUGGACUACUGAGGCGUUGACGGGUAACAGAGAAUUAGGGUUCUAUUCCGGAGAGGGAGCCUGAGAAACAGCUACUACAUCUAAGGAAGGCAGCAGGCGCGUAAAUUACCCAAUUCUGACACAGAGAGGUAGUGACAAGAAAUCACAAUAUUUUGCCUUAGGGUUAAGUAAUUGUAUUGAGAACAGAGUAGCCAUAUUAUCGAUAAACUAUUGGAGGGCAAGUCUGGUGCCAGCAGCCGCGGUAAUUCCAGCUCCAAUGGUGUAUGCUAACAUUGUUGCAGUUAAAAAGCUCGUAGUCGAAUUUUUAAGGGAAUCAAUUUUAUGUGGUCUUAAUGAACUGCAAAGAAAGAUGAUUUAUCUUACUUUAUGCUUUUGCACCGUUGGAAUUCGUUUUCUGAUAGUGGAGUAAGUUUGUGUUUACUUUGAGAAAAUUAGAGUGUUCAAAGCAGUCUUACGGCUUUAUAUUAAAGCAUGGAAUGAUAAAUAAUGACAUCGGUUAAUUUUUGUUGGUUUGAACGACUGAUGUAAUGAUUUAUAGAGUUAGUCGGAGGUAUUAGUAUUUUGUCGUUAGAAGUGAAAUUCUGGGAUCGACAAAAGACUAACAACUGCGAAAGCAUUUACCUAGAAUUANCUCCUUGAUCAAGAACGUAAGUUGGGGGAUCGAAGACGAUCAGAUACCGUCGUAGUCUCAACUUUAAACUAUAUCAGCUAGGGGUUGGCAAAUGUUUAUAUGACUUUGUUAGAACCUUAUGAGAAAUCAAAGCGUUUGGGUUCCGGGGGGAGUAUGGUCGCAAGGCUGAAACUUAAAGGAAUUGACGGAAGGGCACCACAAGAUGUGGAUCCUGUGGCUUAAUUUGACUCAACACUGGAAAACUCACCAGGUCCAGACAUAGGUAGGAUUGACAGACUGACAGCUCUUUCUUGAUUCUAUGGGUGGUGGUGCAUGGCCGUUCUUAGUUGGUGGAGUGAUUUGUCUGGUUAAUUCCGUUAACGAACGAGACCAUCACCUGCUAAAUAGAACAAUUUUUGUAUAGACUUGUUGCUUCUUAGAGGGACUGGCUUUGCAUAAAUUGCUGGCAGUCGGUGGCAAUAA